RNAcentral lists this long non-coding RNA (370 nucleotides) under Trifolium pratense (red clover). Its description in RNAcentral is "long non-coding RNA (TPRA_LNC009051)". The record is from RNAcentral. Lineage: Eukaryota; Viridiplantae; Streptophyta; Magnoliopsida; Fabales; Fabaceae.
ACUGUAUAUACCUAUAGUCGCAGUUCCGGAUCUCUAGCCUCCUCUGCGACCAUUAUUGAAAGGCAACAUCAUGCAUAUAAUGAUAGAUUUAGAUAAGAUAUUAAAUUUGUAGUUCUAUUUGGCUACAUUAAUUAAAUUAAUUAAAAAUAAAACAGUAUCACCGUAGCAUUUAUAAGAUAAAAACUUUGUAAACUUAUCAUACUGAUUAAUCAAAGAAAUUAUAGUCGAUUGAAAUAAGAAAAAUAUCACAAAUGAUGACCGCCGACCAAAUAAAGCACAAAGUAGAUAACCAAGAAAUAAACAACAUCUUCGGCAAUAGAAUGGUUCCCUGGUGAGAUUUCAGAUCAAGAGUUAAUAUAGCAUAGGUUAA